RNAcentral lists this ribosomal RNA (317 nucleotides) under Nevskiales bacterium. RNAcentral's name for it is "bacterial SSU rRNA". It matches the Rfam family "Bacterial small subunit ribosomal RNA", at positions 1 to 313 of the family's 1533-position model. The record is from RNAcentral. Lineage: Bacteria; Pseudomonadati; Pseudomonadota; Gammaproteobacteria; Nevskiales.
AUUUAAUUGGAGAGUUUGAUCCUGGCUCAGAUUGAACGCUGGCGGCAGGCCUAACACAUGCAAGUCGAGCGGUAACAGGAGAAGCUUGCUUCUCGCUGACGAGCGGCGGACGGGUGAGUAAUGCGUAGGAAUCUACCCUUUAGUGGGGGAUAGCCCGGAGAAAUCCGGAUUAAUACCGCAUGAGCUCUUCGGAGGAAAGUGGGGGAUCUUUGGACCUCACGCUGAAGGAUGAGCCUACGUUGGAUUAGCUAGUUGGUGGGGUAAAGGCCUACCAAGGCAACGAUCCAUAGCUGGUCUGAGAGGAUGAUCAGCCACAC